Molecule: ribosomal RNA, 253 nt
Filed under: uncultured bacterium
Lineage: Bacteria
Description: partial 16S ribosomal RNA
Rfam family: Bacterial small subunit ribosomal RNA
Source: RNAcentral
UACGGAGGAUGCAAGCGUUAUCCGGAAUGAUUGGGCGUAAAGCGUCCGCAGGUGGCAGUUCAAGUCUGCUGUCAAAGACCGGGGCUUAACUUCGGAAAGGCAGUGGAAACUGAACAGCUAGAGUAUGGUAGGGGCAGAGGGAAUUCCUGGUGUAGCGGUGAAAUGCGUAGAGAUCAGGAAGAACAUCGGUGGCGAAGGCGCUCUGCUGGACCAUAACUGACACUCAGGGACGAAAGCUAGGGGAGCGAAUGGG